AGGAAGUAAAAGUCGUAACAAGGUCUCCGUUGGUGAACCAGCGGAGGGAUCAUUACCGAGUUUACAACUCCCAAACCCCUGUGAACUAUACCUGUCGUUGCUUCGGCGGCCACGCCCCGGCGCCCUCGUGCCCGGAACCAGGCGCCCGCCGGAGGCCCCAAAAAACCAUGUUUACCACAGUGGCAUUAUCUGAGUGGCACAAGCAAAUAAAUCAAAACUUUCAACAACGGAUCUCUUGGUUCUGGCAUCGAUGAAGAACGCAGCGAAAUGCGAUAAGUAAUGUGAAUUGCAGAAUUCAGUGAAUCAUCGAAUCUUUGAACGCACAUUGCGCCCGCCAGCAUUCUGGCGGGCAUGCCUGUUCGAGCGUCAUUUCAACCCUCGCGCCCAAUUGCGGGCAGCGGUGUUGGGGACCGGCACCCGAAGGAAACCCCCCCGGGGGCCCUCCGAGCCGCCCCCUAAAUACAGUGGCGGUCUCGCUGCAGCCUCCCUUGCGUAGUAGCACACCUCGCACCGGAGCGCAGCGCGGCCACGCCGUAAAAAGGAAGUAAAAGUCGUAACAAGGUCUCCGUUGGUGAACCAGCGGAGGGAUCAUUACCGAGUUUACAACUCCCAAACCCCUGUGAACUAUACCUGUCGUUGCUUCGGCGGCCACGCCCCGGCGCCCUCGUGCCCGGAACCAGGCGCCCGCCGGAGGCCCCAAAAAACCAUGUUUACCACAGUGGCAUUAUCUGAGUGGCACAAGCAAAUAAAUCAAAACUUUCAACAACGGAUCUCUUGGUUCUGGCAUCGAUGAAGAACGCAGCGAAAUGCGAUAAGUAAUGUGAAUUGCAGAAUUCAGUGAAUCAUCGAAUCUUUGAACGCACAUUGCGCCCGCCAGCAUUCUGGCGGGCAUGCCUGUUCGAGCGUCAUUUCAACCCUCGCGCCCAAUUGCGGGCAGCGGUGUUGGGGACCGGCACCCGAAGGAAACCCCCCCGGGGGCCCUCCGAGCCGCCCCCUAAAUACAGUGGCGGUCUCGCUGCAGCCUCCCUUGCGUAGUAGCACACCUCGCACCGGAGCGCAGCGCGGCCACGCCGUAAAAC
RNAcentral lists this unclassified non-coding RNA (1079 nucleotides) under Niesslia tenuis. Its description in RNAcentral is "sequence contains 18S rRNA gene, ITS1, 5.8S rRNA gene, ITS2, 28S rRNA gene". The stretch from base 216 to 369 matches the Rfam family "5.8S ribosomal RNA". The record is from RNAcentral. Lineage: Eukaryota; Fungi; Ascomycota; Sordariomycetes; Hypocreales; Niessliaceae.